Molecule: ribosomal RNA, 207 nt
Filed under: uncultured bacterium
Lineage: Bacteria
Description: partial 16S ribosomal RNA
Rfam family: Bacterial small subunit ribosomal RNA
Source: RNAcentral
CGCGUAGGCGGCAUGACAAGUCACUUGUGAAAUCUCUGGGCUUAACUCAGAACGGCCAAGUGAAACUGUCGCGCUAGAGUGCGGAAGGGGCAAUCGGAAUUCUUGGUGUAGCGGUGAAAUGCGUAGAUAUCAAGAGGAACACCUGAGGUGAAGACGGGUUGCUGGGCCGACACUGACGCUGAUGCGCGAAAGCCAGGGGAGCAAACG